Molecule: non-coding RNA, 28 nt
Filed under: Bombyx mori (domestic silkworm)
Lineage: Eukaryota; Metazoa; Arthropoda; Insecta; Lepidoptera; Bombycidae
Source: RNAcentral
UAUUAGCACGGGUGAUGCCAGCCCCAUA